This 109-nucleotide non-coding RNA is filed under the name Clostridium cochlearium. RNAcentral's name for it is "FMN riboswitch (RFN element)". It matches the Rfam family "FMN riboswitch aptamer (RFN element)". Rfam says of the family: The RFN element is a highly conserved domain that is found frequently in the 5'-untranslated regions of prokaryotic mRNAs that encode for flavin mononucleotide (FMN) biosynthesis and transport proteins. This element is a metabolite-dependent riboswitch that directly binds FMN in the absence of proteins. In Bacillus subtilis, the riboswitch most likely controls gene expression by causing premature transcription termination within the 5' untranslated region of the ribDEAHT operon and precluding access to the ribosome-binding site of ypaA mRNA. The record is from RNAcentral. Lineage: Bacteria; Bacillati; Bacillota; Clostridia; Eubacteriales; Clostridiaceae.
UAUCUUCAGGGCGGGGUGUAAUUCCCCACCGGCGGUAUAGCCCGCGAGCCGUAAGGCAUGAUUCGGUGUAAUUCCGAAGCCGACAGUAAAGUCUGGAUGAAAGAAGGUA